AUGGUAAUAGAAUCAUUUCCGCCGAAUGUGUCGUUCAGAAGAGAUUUAAUUGGACCCAGACUCCAAUCAUGGAAUAUCCUGCUACAACGCUUGUCCAUGGUGCGAUUGUCACCUGGGUCUGAUGUAUUUCGAUGGAUUAUCCAUGGGAAUGGACAAUUCUCAGUGGAGUCUAUGUAUAGAGUGCUAAUCCAAUCUGAUGUGCCAGUUGAUAAUAAUAAGAAGAUCUAGAAGAUGAAGAUACCUCUUAAGAAUAAAAUCUUUGCAUGGUAUCUUCGUCGCGGAGUCAUUCUUACUAAAGAUAACCUUAUUAAGAGGAAUUGGCAUGGAAGUUCACAAUGUGUCUUUUGUCACCAUGAUGAGACAAUAAAACAUUUAUUCUUUCAAUGCAAAUUGGCUCGUUCUAUAUGGUCAGUCAUCCAAAUAGCUUCCGGCUUCUAUCCUCCCUGUAGUGUUGCUAAUGUAUUUGGCAACUGGUUACAUGGGAUUGAUCACAUGUUUAGAACUCUUCUCAGGGUGGGAGCGCUUGCCAUUAUUUGA
Molecule: ribosomal RNA, 537 nt
Filed under: Triticum aestivum (bread wheat)
Lineage: Eukaryota; Viridiplantae; Streptophyta; Magnoliopsida; Poales; Poaceae
Description: partial small subunit ribosomal RNA
Source: RNAcentral